CCCGCCGCAGCUUGUUGGCGAAGCACCGCCCCGAUAAGGCGGAGACAGCGUGUUCGAUUCACGCGGGCGGGACCA
This 75-nucleotide transfer RNA is filed under the name Candidatus Elarobacter sp. RNAcentral describes it as "tRNA-Ile". It matches the Rfam family "tRNA". From Rfam's summary of the family: Transfer RNA (tRNA) molecules are approximately 80 nucleotides in length. Their secondary structure includes four short double-helical elements and three loops (D, anti-codon, and T loops). Further hydrogen bonds mediate the characteristic L-shaped molecular structure. tRNAs have two regions of fundamental functional importance: the anti-codon, which is responsible for specific mRNA codon recognition, and the 3' end, to which the tRNAs corresponding amino acid is attached (by aminoacyl-tRNA synthetases). tRNAs cope with the degeneracy of the genetic code in two manners: having more than one tRNA (with a specific anti-codon) for a particular amino acid; and 'wobble' base-pairing, i.e. permitting non-standard base-pairing at the 3rd anti-codon position. The record is from RNAcentral. Lineage: Bacteria; Bacillati; Vulcanimicrobiota; Vulcanimicrobiia; Vulcanimicrobiales; Vulcanimicrobiaceae.